GCCCGAGUGGUGAAAUGGUAGACACGAAGGACUCAAAAUCCUUUGCCCUCAAACGGCGUGCCGGUUCGAGUCCGGCCUCGGGCA
This 84-nucleotide transfer RNA is filed under the name Bacteroidales bacterium. Its description in RNAcentral is "tRNA-Leu". It matches the Rfam family "tRNA". From Rfam's summary of the family: Transfer RNA (tRNA) molecules are approximately 80 nucleotides in length. Their secondary structure includes four short double-helical elements and three loops (D, anti-codon, and T loops). Further hydrogen bonds mediate the characteristic L-shaped molecular structure. tRNAs have two regions of fundamental functional importance: the anti-codon, which is responsible for specific mRNA codon recognition, and the 3' end, to which the tRNAs corresponding amino acid is attached (by aminoacyl-tRNA synthetases). tRNAs cope with the degeneracy of the genetic code in two manners: having more than one tRNA (with a specific anti-codon) for a particular amino acid; and 'wobble' base-pairing, i.e. permitting non-standard base-pairing at the 3rd anti-codon position. RNAcentral also lists the same sequence under 1 other name. Lineage: Bacteria; Pseudomonadati; Bacteroidota; Bacteroidia; Bacteroidales. The record is from RNAcentral.